AACUGUUCGUGAUAAGAUGUCGGU
RNAcentral lists this microRNA (24 nucleotides) under Gossypium raimondii (Peruvian cotton). RNAcentral describes it as "gra-miR8671". Lineage: Eukaryota; Viridiplantae; Streptophyta; Magnoliopsida; Malvales; Malvaceae. The record is from miRBase by way of RNAcentral.